UAUUGUGUGACAUCUAUUUUAGGCACGAGCAAAUCUAUGUUCUUGUUGAAGAACGAAGGUUAGUGGGUUGUCUAUUACGUUGAGUGGUUAUUAGGAGUUACCUCAAAGCACGAACCAAAGUCUGUGGGCUGCAAGAAAUCAGAACAUGAUUCAUUAACAUCUUUAAAGCAUAAAGAUACGUAAAUGCAUACAUAUACAGGAAUUUGUACGUGGCAUGAAGCCAUGAAGAAAUAGGUAACUGUAUUUACCAAAGUAAAUGAAAUUCAAAUUAAUAAAUUAUAAAGAACCAAAUAUAGGAACAGUUGCUUUGCACC
This 314-nucleotide long non-coding RNA is filed under the name Linum usitatissimum (flax). RNAcentral's name for it is "long non-coding RNA (LUSI_LNC001103)". The record is from RNAcentral. Lineage: Eukaryota; Viridiplantae; Streptophyta; Magnoliopsida; Malpighiales; Linaceae.